Molecule: ribosomal RNA, 253 nt
Filed under: uncultured bacterium
Lineage: Bacteria
Description: partial 16S ribosomal RNA
Rfam family: Bacterial small subunit ribosomal RNA
Source: RNAcentral
UACGGAGGGUGCAAGCGUUAUCCGGAUUUACUGGGUUUAAAGGGUGUGUAGGCGGGCUUUUAAGUCAGUGGUGAAAUCUCCGGGCUCAACCUGGAAACUGCCAUUGAUACUAUUAGUCUUGAAUUUUGUUGAGGUAGGCGGAAUAAGUCAUGUAGCGGUGAAAUGCAUAGAUAUGACUUAGAACACCAAUUGCGAAGGCAGCUUGCUAAACAAAUAUUGACGCUGAGGCACGAAAGCGGGGGGAUCAAACAGG